Mytilus trossulus (common blue mussel) is the source of this 565-nucleotide long non-coding RNA. RefSeq lists it as uncharacterized. The transcript has 3 exons. Lineage: Eukaryota; Metazoa; Mollusca; Bivalvia; Mytilida; Mytilidae. The record is from RefSeq and is a predicted model, not a curated record.
UUGAUGAAUAUUAAUUAUUUAUUAUUAUAUUUAUCAAAUAUUUAAGAUUCAGGUAAUUAAUAGUAUGAUUAGGGAAACAUUUCAAGGAAUCAAACAACUCCCAAAAUAACCCCAACACUGGUCAGAUUCAAAAUUUGAACUUGCAGACAUUACAAGAAAAGAUGUCUUAUUUAUCUUGACUAAAAUAUGAAUUUUACCUUGGAUGUAGAGUUGUGGACUAAAAAGAGCCAAAGUAUUCUAUUAACAUUAAAAAGUGCAGAUGUAUUCUUCUGAUGACAUGACUAUUGGAUUUGUAAAGAUUGAUGUUUUCAUAUAUUUUGGAUUGAAUCUUCUGAACUAGUGAAACAAAGGAAAAUUGUUUUCUGAUGGGACUGAAGAAUGGACACAUUCAAUCAGACUUGGAUUUAUGUUACUGCUUCACUGGUGCACAAAACACAACAGAUCCAUGCAAGAAGGUCAUAUCAAUGAUGCUGUUACAGAGCAAAUCAGUUAUGCACGAAAGAAAUUCAGGAACUUGUGAUAAUAAAUUUAUAUUCAAAGAACACUGAAAACACCUCCAAAAUAU